GAUUGAACGCUGGCGGCAGGCUUAACACAUGCAAGUCGAGCGGAGAUGAGGUGCUUGCACCUUAUCUUAGCGGCGGACGGGUGAGUAAUGCUUAGGAAUCUGCCUAUUAGUGGGGGACAACAUUCCGAAAGGAAUGCUAAUACCGCAUACGCCCUACGGGGGAAAGCAGGGGAUCUUCGGACCUUGCGCUAAUAGAUGAGCCUAAGUCGGAUUAGCUAGUUGGUGGGGUAAAGGCCUACCAAGGCGACGAUCUGUAGCGGGUCUGAGAGGAUGAUCCGCCACACUGGGACUGAGACACGGCCCAGACUCCUACGGGAGGCAGCAGUGGGGAAUAUUGGACAAUGGGCGGAAGCCUGAUCCAGCCAUGCCGCGUGUGUGAAGAAGGCCUUUUGGUUGUAAAACACUUUAAGCGAGGAGGAGGCUACCUGGAUUAAUACUCUAGGAUAGUGGACGUUACUCGCAGAAUAAGCACCGGCUAACUCUGUGCCAGCAGCUGCGGUAAUACAGAGGGUGCGAGCGUUAAUCGGAUUUACUGGGCGUAAAGCGUGCGUAGGCGGCUGGUUAAGUCGGAUGUGAAAUCCCUGAGCUUAACUUAGGAAUUGCAUUCGAUACUGGUCAGCUAGAGUAUGGGAGAGGAUGGUAGAAUUCCAGGUGUAGCGGUGAAAUGCGUAGAGAUCUGGAGGAAUACCGAUGGCGAAGGCAGCCAUCUGGCCUAAUACUGACGCUGAGGUACGAAAGCAUGGGGAGCAAACAGGAUUAGAUACCCUGGUAGUCCAUGCCGUAAACGAUGUCUACUAGCCGUUGGGGCCUUUGAGGCUUUAGUGGCGCAGCUAACG
RNAcentral lists this ribosomal RNA (836 nucleotides) under uncultured Pseudomonadota bacterium. RNAcentral describes it as "bacterial SSU rRNA". It matches the Rfam family "Bacterial small subunit ribosomal RNA", at positions 27 to 857 of the family's 1533-position model. The record is from RNAcentral. Lineage: Bacteria; Pseudomonadati; Pseudomonadota.